Molecule: transfer RNA, 73 nt
Filed under: Trichonephila inaurata madagascariensis
Lineage: Eukaryota; Metazoa; Arthropoda; Arachnida; Araneae; Nephilidae
Rfam family: tRNA
About the family: Transfer RNA (tRNA) molecules are approximately 80 nucleotides in length.
Source: Rfam by way of RNAcentral
GUCCCUGUAGUGCAAUGGAUAGCGCGUUGGACUUCUAAUCCAAAGGUCGUGGGUUCGAAUUCCUCCUGGGAUG